AAAAAGUAAAUAAGCAAAAUUAUUUCCUUGUUUAGAGAUAAGAAGCGAUUGUUUUUUAUUUGUUUGAUUAUUCCCACCCUUUCCGUUCUCUGUAAAGUCUGAAUCAACGUUGAGCCCAAUGUAUUUGUAUCGACACAAAUAAACAAUCAGUUUCGGCGAAUAAAUUUUAUGCAGACAGGCUUUGUUAAAAGUAACAAUGGACGCAGCACGAAUUAAAAUUUAGUUAAUUAACCUUUUUUUUAGUAAUCUUUUGUGUGCCAAAUCGGUAAACUUGUUUGUGCUUAAAAUAAAACAAAAUGUGAAACAGCUUAGCCUACUUUGCUGAAAAUUGUUACCCAGUCUUAUUCAGUUUUGAUUUUAAUCGUUUUGCUUUAAAGCAAGCAAGUCCAUUAUCAGAAUCCGUGUAUGACGUAGCCAUGCAGGUAUGUAACCUAUGCACGACCAACUUUAGCUGGAUAAUCAGUUUUAGAACAGAGUAGAAAAGGUUAUUUCUCAAAGAUUUCUUGCGCGCAAAAAUCUGAUGGAAAAGAGAAAUGAGCUUUUGUUUUGUCACCUUAGUUACCCGAUCUUUAUAAGUAACAAGAUCUCUUCGUGAAACUUCUACAGUUCCGCCAAUAUGCGCACGAAACAAAGGAAUCGUUUGACGACAGUCAUUCAGUCAAGCGUACCCCUGCCGUCUUAUCUCAUAAGCCCGUAAGGUUAACAAAGUUGGAAAUUCUAUUGAGGAAAAAAAUAAAUAUGUUAUUUCCCAGGGUCGGUCCGUAUCGUGAAAUACCGUGACCUCGGCCUCCCAGCUGGUAAAUAACAUAUAUGUCCCUUUCUUAUCUUAUGUUCUCUUGUAUGAAGCCAAUUUUGCGAUUUUAUAGUAUGCCGUGAAAUAUGAAAUGGUAACAAGAGAGUCGCGAUAAAUGUGUUUGUUUGUCGCCGAAUAAAAUAUUUAUUCUGGUCUCGACCUUCAAAGAUAUUGCAUUAGUAAAAUUUUAUCUUUUGAAGAGUAUUUUCGCUGCUCAUAUGAGGAAAAUUCGGGUAAUGACACACUUGGUUUUCAUUCUUGAAAAAAAAAGGCGACUGUCCAGUGCUGAAAAACGCUAGACUAGUUCCAGUACCGCGCGGUUAAACCAGCCUUUUUGUUUUGAAAUGGCGGCAUUUCACCGGGCGAACUGUCACAUUUUGGCGAAUGCUAAGAAGACUAGACCAAACAUAAGGCUAUCAUUUUCUUUAUGACUCCCUCAUUAUCACACAAAUCUGUCAUCUUUUGUACAGUAUGGUUUUAAUUCUGUACAGUCAAAACAGCAACUGAAGUCAGCCUUUCGUACCUUUAAUCGAACUAUUCAACACUACGAUUGUGCUUGUUUUCGCCAGAGCAAGCGCAUGCGCAUACGUUAUUCAGCACUGUCGAGCAGAACCACAAGCGACAAACAGAAAGCGACAAAGAAACCACUGCUAAGGGACUACCUGAGGGCAAGAUGAAUUUGAAUGCUAAAGACUAAAAGACAGCAGAAUUGAGAAACAUGUCUUAAAGAUAAGAGUAUGGAGUUCUUAUGCACUAGUGAUUUGAUACCCCCACACCCAUGGUCCCAGGAAAGGGCGAGGGAUUAGACCUUAAACAACUGUAAUAAAAGUCUCAUGAAACAAAUUGUACUCAAUUGCCUCUACCCCUUGUGGAAAUAACUGUACAUUUGAGAUGAUUUGCCAACAGAAAUGAGCUGUUUAUGUCUCUCAAAACGUUUUCAUAUAUGUUGAAUCGUAUACCGUAUAGGUAUCAAGAGAGAGAGAGAGAGAGAGAGAAAGAAUUUGCCUUCCUUACACUUCAUAUAAUCUGCAAAACAUUGUUAUCUAUUCCCCUGAUUGUGUUUUAUUAGAUAAUGGAAGGCUGUUUCCAAUUUUGUUUGCUGUCCUGGCUAGGAGGGACAAGUCUAAGAGUCAAAGGGGGAAAGGGUUAGUUAUAUGAAAGUACUGAAUAUAACUAUUGCAUCAUUGUUAUAUCAUUGUUAUAUAAGAGUCAUAUUUAUUUCUUUUUUUUUUCUUUCCCUGUUGACUAUAUAUUAAUGAAUAGAUAUAAAUGAACAGAUUUGGUUUAAUAAGAAAUUUUUAUUUAGCACUUUCACUUAUAGAUCUUUUUAGGAUUUGCUUUCCAAAUCAGUCUGUUUCCUAUUGCAUUUAUUUGGUAGUUAAAAUGGCUGGAUCCAGACUUUUUCUGAAAAAAAGAAGCAGCAGGCCACCAUGCUGAAUGGUGGGUGCACCAAAAUAUAAUGCAUUUCUUUAUGUAUAUUUGUGGAUUUUAAUUUCCAUGGGCAUGGAAAAACCACUAAGUCGUACAUGAAAACUUCAGUAUGGCAUCUAAAAUGUGUCCAACUAUACUAUUCUAUCUUUUUGAUGCUGUUACACCCAUUACUUGUUCUUCACAACGACAAAGCUUGUCAGAAUGCAGCUUUGAUACAAAUGUAUUUUACCAGAACUUUUAUGAAGGGAAGGGGUUUUGAGGGCAGAUACUUAAAUUAUAUAACACUAGCAAUAACCUUGUGCUUUUUCAAUAAUAAAUCUGUAAAGAAAACAGUUUUAUAUCAACCUUAAGAUAAUGGGAAAAGUGAAAUGUCAAGAAAGUGCUCAAUCCAAA
Molecule: long non-coding RNA, 2617 nt
Organism: Nematostella vectensis (starlet sea anemone)
Lineage: Eukaryota; Metazoa; Cnidaria; Anthozoa; Actiniaria; Edwardsiidae
Exons: 2
Source: RefSeq, a predicted model, not a curated record